Molecule: ribosomal RNA, 253 nt
Filed under: uncultured bacterium
Lineage: Bacteria
Description: partial 16S ribosomal RNA
Rfam family: Bacterial small subunit ribosomal RNA
Source: RNAcentral
GACAGAGGGUGCAAACGUUGUUCGGAAUUACUGGGCGUAAAGCGCGUGUAGGCGGCUUGGCAAGUCGGGUGUGAAAGCCCUGGGCUUAACCUAGGAAGUGCUUUCCAAACUACUGGGCUUGAAUACUGGAGAGGGUCGCGGAAUUCCCGGUGUAGAGGUGAAAUUCGUAGAUAUCGGGAGGAACACCAGUGGCGAAGGCGGCGACCUGGACAGAUAUUGACGCUGAGGUGCGAAAGCGUGGGGAGCAAACAGG